GGGGUCUGUGGCUCAGUGGUAGAGCAUCAGCUUUGCAUGCAGAAGGUUCCUGGUUCAAACCCAGGCAUUUCCA
Molecule: non-coding RNA, 73 nt
Organism: Sphaerodactylus townsendi
Lineage: Eukaryota; Metazoa; Chordata; Lepidosauria; Squamata; Sphaerodactylidae
Source: the annotation of a RefSeq genome assembly